Molecule: long non-coding RNA, 501 nt
Organism: Cottoperca gobio
Lineage: Eukaryota; Metazoa; Chordata; Actinopteri; Perciformes; Bovichtidae
Exons: 4
Source: RefSeq, a predicted model, not a curated record
GCCUUCAGCAGGACAGGAAUGUUGUAUAGAUACUGACAGGAAAGUGACACUGCCUGGGGAGCUUGGUGACUCACUCUGUAUCAUUCAAAUAUAUGAUGUGAAGAAAUGCAGCAUGACAUGAUUCAGAGUGAAGCCACUGAAACAGUGUUUUUGGCCAGAAUUGUUGGAUGAAUGGCUGAAGAGGGAACAUCUGUACUUACUCAGAGACCUGCACAAUCCUGUUGCUCAGCUCAUGAAGCCAUGGCAGCACCACGGCCGGCACUCUCCCCACCAGGCAGCUCAGCGUGAACGAGGCUUGUCAUCACCUUCACUGUGAGACAGCUGUGACUAAACAGCUGUCUCACAGUGGACGGCAGAAGCAGCUGCAGAGCCAGAAGAGAGUGAGCCACAGCUUAAUGCAAACAUGUAGCAGGAAGGGAGCAGCUUUGAGAAGUUAGGAAGGACCAACAGGAAGAAAGACACACAGAAAACACCACGAUUGAUCCGUCUGUCUGUAAUGAA